Molecule: ribosomal RNA, 522 nt
Filed under: Alternaria alternata
Lineage: Eukaryota; Fungi; Ascomycota; Dothideomycetes; Pleosporales; Pleosporaceae
Description: eukaryotic LSU rRNA
Rfam family: 5.8S ribosomal RNA (bases 168-321)
Source: RNAcentral
UACACAAAUAUGAAGGCGGGCUGGAACCUCUCGGGGUUACAGCCUUGCUGAAUUAUUCACCCUUGUCUUUUGCGUACUUCUUGUUUCCUUGGUGGGUUCGCCCACCACUAGGACAAACAUAAACCUUUUGUAAUUGCAAUCAGCGUCAGUAACAAAUUAAUAAUUACAACUUUCAACAACGGAUCUCUUGGUUCUGGCAUCGAUGAAGAACGCAGCGAAAUGCGAUAAGUAGUGUGAAUUGCAGAAUUCAGUGAAUCAUCGAAUCUUUGAACGCACAUUGCGCCCUUUGGUAUUCCAAAGGGCAUGCCUGUUCGAGCGUCAUUUGUACCCUCAAGCUUUGCUUGGUGUUGGGCGUCUUGUCUCUAGCUUUGCUGGAGACUCGCCUUAAAGUAAUUGGCAGCCGGCCUACUGGUUUCGGAGCGCAGCACAAGUCGCACUCUCUAUCAGCAAAGGUCUAGCAUCCAUUAAGCCUUUUUUUCAACUUUUGACCUCGGAUCAGGUAGGGAUACCCGCUGAACUUAA